ACAAAAUUAUGCCAGGUCUCUGAAGAUAUGUCUGAUUCAGCCGAAGCCCCACCUGCCCCACCUGCCAACCCUGCUGCAGAGGAGGAAGUAGUUGAUAUUGAUCUGGAGGAUCCCGAAGUAAAGGCUGCAGCUGCUAAAAUACAAGGAAACUUUUUGAGACGUAAGAUGAAGAAGGACGCCAAAGCCGCAGGUCAAUAACUUUUGGUCGACUGAGAGGGGAGGAUGUAGUAUUUAAGUUGUUACUAUAAAACUGAAAAAUGUCAUAAUAGCUUCAUAUUGAAUACCAUACAGGUUAACAAUCAGUUUGAGUUUGACACUGACAUGAUAUGUGAUUUUAAAGUCACGUGAUAGUGAUAUGAUAUGUGAUUUUAAAGUCUGCAGUUAUAAAACAAGUGUGGAUGUAAAUUAGUAUGUAUUUAGAAUGAUAAAUAAGCAACUAGAUUUGUAAGCGUUCAGUAACAGAUAGAUACUCAUUGGGGAGCAACCAAAACUUAUAUUUGCCUUUAUUAAUAUUAACUUAUUUUCGUGCAUCUGUUUCCGAUAUAAUGGAUUUGCUCCUUUUCAUAGCCCUCAUAUUAAAUAAGCUUUUGAAUUGUAUUAUUUCAUUAUACUCAGCUAUAUGAUGCCAUGAAAUAAUUGUGAUGUAAUAUUUUAUCUUAUGUUCUAAAGUUAAGACUUAA
Bolinopsis microptera is the source of this 680-nucleotide long non-coding RNA. RefSeq lists it as uncharacterized. The record is from RefSeq and is a predicted model, not a curated record. Lineage: Eukaryota; Metazoa; Ctenophora; Tentaculata; Lobata; Bolinopsidae. The transcript has 2 exons.